Non-coding RNA from Paramuricea clavata, 308 nucleotides. NCBI's taxonomy places the organism in Eukaryota, Metazoa, Cnidaria, Anthozoa, Malacalcyonacea, Plexauridae. The record is from the annotation of a GenBank genome assembly.
AGGUGGGGCCUACAUGAUAAAUCCAAGAUGGCGGUACAACAGGGCAAAAAGACCAUAAAUUCUAUUACGAAAAUCAGGAUUUUUGCAUUUUUUGCCGUCGCAUUGUUUUGAAACUUAUUCGGUCAAAUUUUAUGGUAAAGAGAAACUUACUGCGACGAUUUUGAGCAUAUAUAUGAUUGAAUUGGAUAAAAACUCGCAAAAUUAUCCAUCGAUAAAAGUUCGUGUAUAGUACUGAUAUAGUACUAUAUAUGUAACUUGUACAGUUUUGCUUUAAUUUUUGCUCACUAUUUGCAUAAAAAGCAAAUUAU